This is a long non-coding RNA of Cryptomeria japonica (Japanese cedar), 328 nucleotides long. RefSeq lists it as uncharacterized. The transcript has 3 exons. The record is from RefSeq and is a predicted model, not a curated record. NCBI's taxonomy places the organism in Eukaryota, Viridiplantae, Streptophyta, Pinopsida, Cupressales, Cupressaceae.
AUGUGAAAUCCUUUGGCGCAUCAUUGAUCGUAGGUGGACAAACCAACUCCACCAACCGAUACAUGCCUUCGCCUACUUUUUGAACCCGAAAUUCUACUUCUCUGAUUCAUUUAGGGCUGACGACGAGGUCAUGGCAGGUGUUAUUACAUGCAUUGAUAAGAUGACACCUGAUCCUGAGUUGAGAGACAAGGUUCUUGAUGAGUUGGAGAUCUACAAAAGUGCAGAGGGGAGACUCUUCUCAUCACAACUAGCAAUUGAUAGGAGAGGAAAACAACAACCAGAUUUAUGGUGGGAGAAUUAUGGUGCUGGCACGCCUAAUCUUCAAAAG